This 253-nucleotide ribosomal RNA is filed under the name uncultured bacterium. RNAcentral describes it as "partial 16S ribosomal RNA". It matches the Rfam family "Bacterial small subunit ribosomal RNA", at positions 95 to 334 of the family's 1533-position model. The record is from RNAcentral.
ACGGCGAACGGGUGAGUAACACGUGGUUAACCUGCCGAGAUGUGGGGGAUACCCCGGGGAAACCCGGGCUAAUACCGCAUGAUGUCUUCCGGGCGUCGCCCUGGAAGAGCAAAGCCGGGGACCGUAAGGCCUGGCGCAUUUCGAGGGGACCGCGGCCGAUUAGCUAGUUGGCGGGGUAACGGCCCACCAAGGCGACGAUCGGUAGCCGGCCUGAGAGGGUGAUCGGCCACACUGGAACUGAGACACGGUCCAG